RNAcentral lists this long non-coding RNA (299 nucleotides) under Elaeis guineensis (African oil palm). RNAcentral's name for it is "long non-coding RNA (EGUI_LNC002168)". The record is from RNAcentral. Lineage: Eukaryota; Viridiplantae; Streptophyta; Magnoliopsida; Arecales; Arecaceae.
AUAUUGAUAGAGAUCGAGGAACAGAAAUAUCUUCAUCAACCAAAUCCCAUGAAGGCUCCAUCGAUGAAGAGAGAUAAAAUGAAUAUUGUCGCUUCCAUCAUGGCCAUGGUCAUGAAACUGAGAAUUGCCUACAACUCAAGGAUGAAAUUGAAGCCCUAAUCCAUCAAGAUUAUCUUGAUAAGUAUGUCUGAGAUCGGAUAAGUCAGGCUACUAAACAUUGAUAGAAAACUGAUGAAGACACUGAGCAAAAUCAAUUUACAACUGGGAUCAUCAAUAUGGUCUCAGGUUUUAGUGGAAGU